Molecule: ribosomal RNA, 254 nt
Filed under: uncultured bacterium
Lineage: Bacteria
Description: partial 16S ribosomal RNA
Rfam family: Bacterial small subunit ribosomal RNA
Source: RNAcentral
UACGAAGGGGGCUAGCGUUGCUCGGAAUCACUGGGCGUAAAGCGCACGUAGGCGGAUCGUUAAGUCGGGGGUGAAAUCCCAGGGCUCAACCCUGGAACUGCCUUCGAUACUGGCGAUCUUCGAGUCCGGGAGAGGUGAGUGGAACUCCGAGUGUAGAGGUGAAAUUCGUAGAUAUUCGGAAGAACACCAGUGGCGAAGGCGGCCCACUGGCCCGGUACUGACGCUGAGGUGCGAAAGCGUGGGGAGCAAACAGG